CAGCAGCCGCGGGAAAACGUAGGGUGCAAGCGUUAAUCGGAAUUACUGGGCGUAAAGCGUGCGCAGGCGGUUUUGUAAGACAGAGGUGAAAUCCCCGGGCUCAACCUGGGAACUGCCUUUGUGACUGCAAGGCUAGAGUACGGCAGAGGGGGAUGGAAUUCCGCGUGUAGCAGUGAAAUGCGUAGAUAUGCGGAGGAACACCGAUGGCGAAGGCAAUCCCCUGGGCCUGUACUGACGCUCAUGCACGAAAGCGUGGGGAGCAAACAGGAUUAGAUACCCGCGUAGUCCCUGUCUCUUAUAC
Molecule: ribosomal RNA, 301 nt
Filed under: uncultured bacterium
Lineage: Bacteria
Description: partial 16S ribosomal RNA
Rfam family: Bacterial small subunit ribosomal RNA
Source: RNAcentral